GCCCGCCUAGCUCAAUCGGAUAGAGCGUCAGACUCUUAUGUCUCUAAUGCGGGCUUUAAAAUCUGAAGGUUGCGAGUUCGACCCUCGCGGUGGGCU
This is a non-coding RNA of Macrolepiota fuliginosa MF-IS2, 96 nucleotides long. Lineage: Eukaryota; Fungi; Basidiomycota; Agaricomycetes; Agaricales; Agaricaceae. The record is from the annotation of a GenBank genome assembly.